Non-coding RNA from Octodon degus (degu), 1367 nucleotides. The record is from the annotation of a RefSeq genome assembly. Lineage: Eukaryota; Metazoa; Chordata; Mammalia; Rodentia; Octodontidae.
AUGACACUGGCUAGCUUGCUGUGGGCUCUCCUGCUUCCCAUCUGUCUUGGAGUCGGUGUGGCCCAGAAAGUCACUCAGUCCCAACAAGAAAUAUCCAUACAAGAGGCAGCUACAGCAACCCUGGAUUGUACAUAUGACACUACAGACAGUAAUUAUUAUUUGUUCUGGUACAAGCAACUUCGGAGAGGGCAGAUGAUUUUCAUUAUUCGCCAAGAGGCUUAUAAGCAGCAGAACGCUACUGAGGCUCGCUUCUCUGUGAAUUUCCAGAAAGCGACUAAGUCCUUCAGUCUCAAGAUUUCAGGCUCAGAGCUGGCGGAUGCUGCCAUGUACUUCUGUGCUUACUCUGGGGGUAACCAGAAGCUGGCGUUUGGGCAGGGCACCAGGCUGACUGUCCACCCAGUCAUUAAGGAACCGGAACCUGCCGUGUACCAGCUGAGAGAUCCAAAAUCCAGCAAUGUCUCCGUCUGCCUGUUCACCGAUUUUGAUUCUAACGUCAACGUGUCAGAAGUUGUGGGGUCAGAAGUGUCUCACAUUGAGCAAACUGUGCUGGACAUGAAGUCCCUGGAUUCCAAGAGCAACGGUGCCGUGGCCUGGAGCAACAAGAACAAUUUUAAUUGUACAAAUGCCUUCCAAAAGAAUACGUUCUACUCCAGCUCAGACUUUCCCUGUAAUGCCAAAUUGGUAGAAGAAAGCUUUGAAACAGAUAUGAACCUAAACCUUCAAAACCUGUCAGUGAUUGGCCUCCGAAUCCUCCUCCUGAAAGUGGCCGGAUUUAACCUGCUUAUGACACUGCGGCUAUGGUCCAGCUGAGGUCGGAAGGCUGUAUGGGCCAGUGUUCCUUUGCUCCUUCCUGCCCUUCUUCGGACAGAAGGGAGCUCUCCUGCUCCGUGCAGGAGGUGCCCAUCAUCGCGCUGACCACCAUGUCGAUGCUGAAUUUGUGAUGAAGACUGCUAAAGAGCUGCCAAACGCUGCUGCCACCCCCACCCCAACCCCCGCUUCCCUUAUCACUGCUUGUCACAAUUCAUGGCAAAGGUGAUGCUGCGAAGAAAACCCUCCCCUCCACGAGACAGCCUCUGCUGUCCCACUGGGUGACCAGUCCCCAGUGGGGUCUCUGGUUUAGAGAAUGUUGUGAAGUCUUUAUUUUUCAUAUAGUGCUUGUAAAAACAUAUAUAAAUUCUUCUUCGCAAGAUGUAGAAUAAAAUCAUCUCGUUCCAGUGGUGGCAAACCUAUGGCAAUAUGCCGCAGUGGGUGGUUUGCUAUCACUGAAAGCUCUAAAAGGUUUGCCAUCCUGCUAGACCCUGCCGCUAUGCUGAGACCUGAACCUCAAUGUGUAUUAUUCUACUGUCCUGGCUUCAUUAAACGUGAUC